This 433-nucleotide ribosomal RNA is filed under the name uncultured bacterium. Its description in RNAcentral is "partial 16S ribosomal RNA". It matches the Rfam family "Bacterial small subunit ribosomal RNA", at positions 29 to 507 of the family's 1533-position model. The record is from RNAcentral.
AAUGAACGCUGGCGGCAUGCCUAACACAUGCAAGUCGAACGAAGGCUUCGGCCUUAGUGGCGCACGGGUGCGUAACGCGUGGGAAUCUGCCCUUGGGUUCGGAAUAACAGUUAGAAAUGACUGCUAAUACCGGAUGAUGUCGUAAGACCAAAGAUUUAUCGCCCAAGGAUGAGCCCGCGUAGGAUUAGCUAGUUGGCGGGGUAAAGGCCUACCAAGGCGACGAUCCUUAGCUGGUCUGAGAGGAUGAUCAGCCACACUGGGACUGAGACACGGCCCAGACUCCUACGGGAGGCAGCAGUGGGGAAUAUUGGACAAUGGGCGAAAGCCUGAUCCAGCAAUGCCGCGUGAGUGAUGAAGGCCUUAGGGUUGUAAAGCUCUUUUACCCGGGAUGAUAAUGACAGUACCGGGAGAAUAAGCUCCGGCUAACUUCGUG